RNAcentral lists this ribosomal RNA (254 nucleotides) under uncultured bacterium. Its description in RNAcentral is "partial 16S ribosomal RNA". It matches the Rfam family "Bacterial small subunit ribosomal RNA", at positions 524 to 776 of the family's 1533-position model. The record is from RNAcentral.
GACGGAGGAUCCGAGCGUUAUCCGGAGUGACUGGGCGUAAAGAGUUGCGUAGGCGGUUUGUUAAGUAGAUAGUGAAAUCAAGUGGCUCAACCAUUUGGCUAUUAUCUAAACUGGCAAACUUGACAAUGAGAGAGGUAGCUGGAAUUCCUAGUGUAGGAGUGAAAAUCCGUAGAUAUUAGGAGGAACACCAAUGGCGUAGGCAGCUACUGGCUCAUUUGUGACGCUGAGGCACGAAAGCGUGGGGAGCGAACCGG